UGGGUAACCCACCCCGAUGAUUGGGACAACCCGGGGAAACUCGGGCUAAUACCAAAUGUACUCGUAGACCAUGAGGUCCAUGAGUAAAGAUAGCUUCGGCCUUCGCAUCGGGACGGGCCCGCGGCCCAUUAGCUUGUUGGUGAGGUAACGGCUCACCAAGGCUGCGAUGGGUAGCUGGUCUGAGAGGACGAUCAGCCACACUGGGACUGAGACACGGCCCAGACUCCUACGGGAGCAG
RNAcentral lists this ribosomal RNA (238 nucleotides) under uncultured bacterium. RNAcentral's name for it is "partial 16S ribosomal RNA". It matches the Rfam family "Bacterial small subunit ribosomal RNA", at positions 118 to 347 of the family's 1533-position model. The record is from RNAcentral.